Molecule: long non-coding RNA, 332 nt
Filed under: Pan troglodytes (chimpanzee)
Lineage: Eukaryota; Metazoa; Chordata; Mammalia; Primates; Hominidae
Description: lincRNA
Source: RNAcentral
GGGGAGCCACCUUGUGACGCCCCUUCUGCCUCUCACCAGCUUCCCCCUUUCUCCCCGUUCUGUACGGUUCCCCCUGGAGCCAGAAGGAAGCCCGGUGCCAGCCAGCCUUCCUGAAAGACCAAGCCCGCGCCAUCCGGCUUCCUCCAGUGGACGCCUGCAGGACCCAGGAACACUACAUCAACACUCUUGGCGGGGACCUGGACACAGAAGACUCCUGUUUCAAGAAAAUACAAUCAUCUCUCAAAGGCUGUAAUUUAUAUGCAUUUUAAAACUCUAGGCAUUGAAAACCACCCAAGUGUCCCAAAUAGAAGGGUAAUAUAUAAUCAAUCACU